RNAcentral lists this long non-coding RNA (237 nucleotides) under Elaeis guineensis (African oil palm). RNAcentral's name for it is "long non-coding RNA (EGUI_LNC051914)". Lineage: Eukaryota; Viridiplantae; Streptophyta; Magnoliopsida; Arecales; Arecaceae. The record is from RNAcentral.
UGGUCAGGUUGGUCGAGCUUUCCUCAGGUCUGAUCAUUCAUUUGUCAGAUGCAGUGAGUUCUAUCAUGUUAAUGGUUGGACCUAACCGAAACUUUCAGUGGAGGCCUUCACCUACUGAAAAGGUAUUUGGUGCAAAAUUAAUUACUAAAAAUUAUUUGAAGAAAUAAUUAGUUAAGAACCUACCCAUAGAUGCACAUGGGUUGGUCGAGCUUUACUCAGGCUCAUAUACAGUCUGUG